RNAcentral lists this ribosomal RNA (489 nucleotides) under uncultured bacterium. Its description in RNAcentral is "partial 16S ribosomal RNA". It matches the Rfam family "Bacterial small subunit ribosomal RNA", at positions 29 to 507 of the family's 1533-position model. The record is from RNAcentral.
AGUGAACGCUGGCGGUAGGCCUAACACAUGCAAGUCGAACGGCAGCACAGUAAGAGCUUGCUCUUACGGGUGGCGAGUGGCGGACGGGUGAGGAAUACAUCGGAAUCUACUUUUUCGUGGGGGAUAACGUAGGGAAACUUACGCUAAUACCGCAUACGACCUACGGGUGAAAGCAGGGGAUCUUCGGACCUUUCGCGAUUGAAUGAGCCGAUGUCGGAUUAGCUAGUUGGCGGGGUAAAGGCCCACCAAGGCGACGAUCCGUAGCUGGUCUGAGAGGAUGAUCCGCCACAGUGGCACUGAGACACGGUCAAGACUACGGGAGGCAGCAGUGGGGAAUAUUGGACAAUGGGCGCAAGCCUGAUCCAGCCAUACCGCAUGGGUGAAGAAGGCCUUCGGGUUGUAAAGCCCUUUUGUUGGGAAAGAAAAGCAGCAGGUUAAUACCCCGCUGUUCUGACGGUACCCAAAGAAUAAGCACCGGCUAACUUCGUG